AUUAUUAGAAAUAAUAUAUUGUUAGUAUAUAAAACUUACGAAAACAAAAAAUUAUGGCGGUAUCUUAAGCUUUUCAGAGGAAUUUGCUCUUUAAUGGAUAAAACACCCAAAUCUUACUAAAGUUGGUAAAGACAGCUUGUAUACCACUAUUAAAGCAAUUAUUAAUUAUAAUUGCUGUAAAUUUUAUACAAAAAAUAAGUUAAGUCAAGGUGCAGCUUAAACUUUAGGAUGAAGUGAAUUACAAUUCUCUUUAGACAAUUAUUUUAUUUUUAAAAAUAAAAAAAAAUUAGGAUUUGAAAGUAAAAAUUUUAAUAGAAUGAUUAUUUGAAUUAAGCUCUGAGAUAUGUAC
RNAcentral lists this ribosomal RNA (349 nucleotides) under Amblyomma cajennense (Cayenne tick). Its description in RNAcentral is "partial 12S small subunit ribosomal RNA". Lineage: Eukaryota; Metazoa; Arthropoda; Arachnida; Ixodida; Ixodidae. The record is from RNAcentral.